This is a long non-coding RNA of Schistocerca gregaria, 1375 nucleotides long. RefSeq lists it as uncharacterized. The record is from RefSeq and is a predicted model, not a curated record. The transcript is spliced from 3 exons. NCBI's taxonomy places the organism in Eukaryota, Metazoa, Arthropoda, Insecta, Orthoptera, Acrididae.
CCCCCUAAUUCCCACAUACUGGAUACUACAUAUUACAAUUUUUGAAGCAGUUAAGUUGUGGUCUUUUGUGAGGUCCAGAAGUAUUGGCGAUACACGAUCCUCCUUGUCUCUUGCAGUCAAAGCUUCAUCCAAAAAAUUAAAAAUAGCAGUUUCGUCGAUUUGUUUUUUCUGAAUCCAAAUUGAUUGGCAAAAUUAUUUUUCUCUAUAAAUGUAACAAGUCUGCUGCAAAAUGCUUUUUCCCAAAUAUUUUGUAAAACACGGGCAGCAGAAAUUUUGCCUGUAGUUAUUUUCAUUUGUCUUGUGUCCCUUCUUGAUCAGAGGUCUUAACAUCACCAUAUUUUCUGGAAAAAUGCCACAACACAAUAUGGGGCCACGAUAAUGAGUUAGGGGCUUAGACAAUACUGUUGCUUUUUUUAAAAAAUAUUUGAUCAGGAACAUUGUCUCUGCUUGAAGAAAAUUUUGAUUUUAAUUCCUUCAUAAUACUUAGUAUUUUCUUUUCAAAAUGAUGGAGAACAACAAUUAGUCAUUCUUUCCUUUCAGGCUUUCAGGCAAUCAAAGUGUUCUCCACAAACCCUACCUUCAUUAUACAGUAGUCUUGAAUGAACUGUGACAUGAGCCCGAAUAACAGGGGUAUGAUGUACAAGGACAUGUAUUGAAACUUUGAAAUACUGCACUGAUAAUGGAUAAGUCACAUCUAGGUUUGCUUUAAUAAAGUCAGAAAGGAAAGGAGGACUGAUUGCCUACACCAUUAUUUUGAAAGUCAUAUCACAGUCAUUGAGUGCAUUCUACAUUUCCAAUGGAAGAUCUGCAGCAGAACAAGGGAAAUAAAAUGCAACAAGUGGGCAGGUUACAUCUUCAAACAAAUAAAAUAUGCCACAAAGAGAAAUUAUUACUUUCAAGGAUGUGGAGACACGUCCUUAAAACAAAAUGAGGCAUAACUGGUGACCACUGAGACUGUUCAUCCUUAUAACACAAGGGACAGGAAACAAUUGUGAUGCAUUCCACAUAGACUUCAGAUUUUAGAGAAAAGAUCUAAGUACAUCAAAUUAAUACAGGCACUGCCAGUGUACAUGAGCAGGCAGUGAGCAAAUCUUCAUUCUGUGAGUGAUAAUUUUAUGUAACACAUUCAGAGAAAUAAGCAUUAGAAAUUAGUGUUAGUAAGUAAUCUGGAAUUAGAACCACUCAUGUAUAAGACACCACAAAAUUGUAUUUUUUUAACUGUCAUCCUGGAAGUCAUUAUGUAUAUUAUGUUAUUGUGCAUUAUGUAUCUACUGAGCAAGCCAACAUUUGUAUUUACUGUCAAAGCUAUUGUAUGUAUAUUAUUACAUGUAUAUAAAUAAAAUAGAAAGAAACUUCCACAUGGGAAAAAUAUAUU